GUUACUUCCUUUCUUUCUGCCAUGGCAUCUUUAUUGCAGAUCUUUAUGAGUCCUGAAUGACAUACUGGAGUUACCAUGAAGUAUGUUGUAUGCAAAUUUAAGCUUUUACACUUAUUAACUAUUUAAGUCAGUCCCCAAGCUAUGUAGACUUGUUCUUAAGUUGAAUUUGUAUGUAAGUUGAAACAGAUAGAUUUUUAAGUGUAACUCCAUCAAUAGAUAGACUUAGGAUCACCCUAAGUCUGAAAUGACUUGAAGACACACAACAACAAUCCUAAAUAAUGACUAUUUCAUCAGCCAAAAGCAGGCCCUCACUUCCCAUUGAAAUACCGAAACAUGCAGAGAACGAACAGAACAUUCAUGAGACAUGUAAAAACACCCAAUUAAACAUGUGAUGAGAAUCCCCGCCUGCCCAUUUGUAAAUAAAAUGAUGACGUCGGCAUGGGGAGGGGAGCCGAGAUGGGCAGUAUAGAAUCCCUUCUUUCACCAUAAUCUCGAGAACUGAGCAGGUAAUUUAUAUCUUUCUUAACAAUGGCUAAUGCUUCUUCAGGUGGGUGGCUCUCAUUGAAAUAAGUGUUUAAAAAUGAUGCCUUAACUCAGCUAUAGCUGAAGGGUGUUGAAGGCAAAUGACACCAGAAAAAGUAGCUUCUUAAGUGUUAUGUCUUAUGUAGUUGCAGGGUAUGAGGGCAAACCACUCCAGAAAAAGUGGUUCUUUAAGACUGGUGCCUUAAAUCAGCUGUAGUUGAAGGGUAUGAGGGAAAACAACAUGGGCAGGAGGAGACAGUGGGGGGAGGCAUAUGUGUCCUGUGUGAUGGCAAAUCAAAUGGAUAAA
Molecule: long non-coding RNA, 829 nt
Filed under: Anolis carolinensis (green anole)
Lineage: Eukaryota; Metazoa; Chordata; Lepidosauria; Squamata; Anolidae
Description: lncRNA (ENSACAG00000037795.1)
Source: RNAcentral